This 465-nucleotide ribosomal RNA is filed under the name Vreelandella stevensii. Its description in RNAcentral is "partial 16S ribosomal RNA". It matches the Rfam family "Bacterial small subunit ribosomal RNA", at positions 338 to 795 of the family's 1533-position model. Lineage: Bacteria; Pseudomonadati; Pseudomonadota; Gammaproteobacteria; Oceanospirillales; Halomonadaceae. The record is from RNAcentral.
CCUACGGGUGGCAGCAGUGGGGAAUAUUGGACAAUGGGCGAAAGCCUGAUCCAGCCAUGCCGCGUUUGUGAAGAAGGCCUUCGGGUUGUAAAGCACUUUCAGUGGGGAAGAAAGCCUUGGGGCUAAUACCCUCGAGGAAGGACAUCACCCACAGAAGAAGCACCGGCUAACUCCGUGCCAGCAGCCGCGGUAAUACGGAGGGUGCGAGCGUUAAUCGGAAUUACUGGGCGUAAAGCGCGCGUAGGCGGUCUGAUAAGCCGGUUGUGAAAGCCCCGGGCUCAACCUGGGAACGGCAUCCGGAACUGUCAGGCUAGAGUGCAGGAGAGGAAGGUAGAAUUCCCGGUGUAGCGGUGAAAUGCGUAGAGAUCGGGAGGAAUACCAGUGGCGAAGGCGGCCUUCUGGACUGACACUGACGCUGAGGUGCGAAAGCGUGGGUAGCAAACAGGAUUAGAUACCCUUGUAGUC